Molecule: long non-coding RNA, 3400 nt
Filed under: Homo sapiens (human)
Lineage: Eukaryota; Metazoa; Chordata; Mammalia; Primates; Hominidae
Description: HSALNT0220192
Source: RNAcentral
GAGAGGACCAGAGCCUUAGCCUGGAAUUUUCCUAAGAAAAAGCUCACAGAUCAUUUGGGACCUUUAAAUACAGAUGCCUUGUUGAAACCCAGCUAGGAAGCAAUAAGAUCAGAUAUGGUAAAUAAGGAGAAAUUCAAAAAUCCCUGUUGUGUAGACACAUCAUUUUCUGUAAAUAAUUACUUGAUCUUUCUUUCAAGUGGUAAAUAGCCAUUUAUUGAGUAUUCUUGCUUUGAUUGUCUACGUAAGCAUGUAAGACUACAACAUUACGACCCAUCUCUUCAAGAGGAAGUCUGGUAUUAUGGAAAAACAUUUUGUCAUUCAGAUUUUUUUUUCUUACAGUAUGCCCAUCACAAACCAGGCAGCAAGCAAGGUAUUGGGUGCUACUCAAUCCAGUGAAGUCUUGAGGGUCCCUUCCCUCUGUGAAGCAUAUAAUCUAGUGGGGUAGACUGCUAGCUACUAACUAUGAAAACAACAUAGUCUGACUUGAGAGUGGGGAAAGUGGAACAAGGGAGUAAUUUUUAUAUUUUUCUUCACAUUUAAAAAUAUUUUCUAAACAAUCCAAUAUAAUCUUUUCUAUAAUUUCCAAUACAAUCAACAUGUAUUACUUGUAAAAUAAUAGCAUACAUAUAUCGACAGACUGAAGAAGGUAUACUAUUAGAGAACAUUUGCAGAAAAGAAUUCCACAUCUUUUUUUUGAGACAGAGUUCUGCUGUCACCCAGGCUGGAGUGCAGUGGCAGCAAUCUAGGCUCACUGCAACCUCCACCUCUUGGGUUCAAGCAAUUCUCCUGCCUCAGCCUCCUGAGUAGCUGGGCCUACAGGCACGCGCCACCACACCCAGAUAAUUUUUGUAUUUUUAGUAGAGCCAGGCUGGUCUUGAACUCCUGACCUCAGAUGAUCCACCCACCUUGGCCUCCCAAAGUGAUGGAAUUACAGGCGUGAGCCACUGCACCUGGCCGAGAAUUCCACAUUUUAAGAAUAUGGUAAAAGAGUUUUAUUCUCUUCAGUAAGAUGAGGUUGAGAAUAAAAAAUUAAAAAGAUUAAGCAAAUGACACUUUCACAUCAUAGGGUAGUAAUAAUGAACUUUAAUAAUCUUAAAAAAAUACUUAUUGGGGAUAAGAAAUGUGGUUUACAAGUAAACUGUUACUUUCUAGACUUAACCCAAGAAGUUAAUGGAGUAGGUGUGUUUCAGUAAAGUAACAGGAAAUGGUACAGAAACCACCAAUGGUCAUCAUGCUUGAGAGUCAAUACAGCACAUAAUUCACAGCACAGAUGAGGCUGGGUGCAGCAAUUCAUGCCUGCAAUUCUACCACUUUGGGAAGCUCAGGCGAGAGGAUCACUUGAGCCCAGGAAUUUGAGACCAGCGUGGGCAACAAGGCUAGACCCCAUCUCUACAAAAUAUAUAUUUAAAAUUAGUUGGGUGUUACCCAGGCAUGGUGGCUCACACCUAUAAUCCCAGUACUUUGGGUAGCCGGGGGAGGUGGAUCACUUGAGGUCAGGAGUUUGAGAUCAGCCUGGCCAACAAGGUGAAACCUUGUCUCUACGAAAAAUACAAAAAUCAGCCAGGCAUUAUGGUGGGUACCUGUAAUCUCAGCUACUUUGGAGGCUGAAGCACGAGAAUUGCUUGAUCUUGGGAGGCAGAGGUUGCAGUGAGCCAAGAUUGUGCCACUGUACUCCGGCCUGGGCAACAGAGUGAGACUUCAACUCAAAAAAACAAAAAUAAAUAAAAAUGAAAAAUAAAAAAAUAUAUAUAUAAAAUUAGGUACGUGUGGUGGUGCAUGCCUGUGGUUCCACCUAAUCAAGAGGCAGUGGCAGGAGGAUUGCUUGAGCCCAGGAGUUUACGGCUGCAGUGAGCUAUGAUCACGCUACUACACUCCAGCCUGGGCAACAGAGCAAGAGGUUGUCUUUUUUUUUUUUUUCUUUCUGAGACAGGAUCUCACUCUGUUGCCCAGGUUGGAAAGCAGUGGCAUGAUCUCAGCUCACUGCUGCCUCAGUCUCCCAGGCUCAAGUGAUCCUCCCACCUCAGUCUCCCAAGUAGCUGGAACUACAGGUGCACACCAUCACAUCCAGUUAUUUUUUUUUUUUUGACGGAGUCUCGCACUGUUGCCCAGGCUGGAGCGCAAUGGCACGAUCUCAGCUCACUGCAACCUCCACCUCCCAGGUUCAAGCAAUUCUCCUGCCUCAGACUCCUGAGUAGCUGGGAUUACAGGCACUCACCGCCAUGCCCAGCUAAUUUUUUGUAUUUUUAGUAGAGACGGGGUUUCACUAUGUUGGUCAGGCUGGUCUCGAACUCCUGACCUUGUGAUCCGCCCACCUUGGCCUCCCAAAGUGCUGGGAUUACAGGCAUGAGCCACUGCACCUGGCCUAAUUUUUGUAUUUUUUUUUUUAGCAGAGAUAGGAUUUUGCCAUGUUGCCCAGGCUGGUCUCAAACUCCUGAGCCCAAGUGAUCCACCUGCCUUGGCCUCCCGAAGUGCUGGGAUUACAGGCAUGAGCCACCAUGCCCCACCAAGACAAACAAAACAAAACAAAACAAAACAAAACAAAACAAAAACAGUAUAGAUGAAAGGCAGCCAGCCUGGGUUCAAAUCCUACCGUUGCUACUUAUUAUUAAAUAAACGUAAGAAUCUUAUGGACGUUACUUUACCUCUCUAGCACCUUGACUUUCAAAUCUGCAAAACAGGAUAAUAACACCUAUUUCUUUAUAACAUUGUUAUAAGGAUUAAGUAGGUUAAUAUAUGUGAAAUACUUAGAGUAAUGUCUGGUACACAGUAGGCACUAAAUAAGUGUUAGCAGCCAGGUGCGGUGGCUCACAAGGUCAGGAGUUUGUGACCACACUGGCCAACAUAGUGAAACCCUGUCUCUACUAAAAAUAUAAAAAUUAGCUGGGCAUGGUGGCGUGUGCCUGUAGUCCCAGCUACUCGGGAGGCUGAGGCAGGAGAAUCACUUAAACCCGGAAGGCGGCGGUUGUGGUGAGCUGAGAUCGCACCACUGCACUCCAGCCCAAGCAACAGAGCGAGACUCCGUCUCAAAAAAAAAAAAAAAAAAAAAAGUAUAGCUACUAUUAUAAUCCUGUGAAAAUAAUCAAUAUAAAAUUAAAAAUCAACAGACAGCCCAUAUUGCCCUUUUUUGGCCUAACAAAAAACAGAUUUCUAAGAAGACAGUAAGAAAUCAGUAUUAAUUUAAACAUUGUACAGGACAGGAGAUCAAAAGCACAGGUAUACAAAUGGUUCAUUUAAAAAAACUGAUACUCAAAUUGACACCCUGAAAAUGUCAGAUAAUUUUUCAGAAUGAUUAAACUCACUAAACAUCUGUAAACAAUAAAUUUAUUUCAUUUCUUUUAAAGAUUUAAUGAUAUACAAAACGUAUAUAGUAUCUUUAAGUAAUACACUUUUUCUUUCUCCC